This is a non-coding RNA of Equus caballus (horse), 3041 nucleotides long. Lineage: Eukaryota; Metazoa; Chordata; Mammalia; Perissodactyla; Equidae. The record is from RefSeq and is a predicted model, not a curated record.
CCCGAAGUCCACGGGGUCCUCAACGAUGUCCCACCCACACCGGUCCCGGGCCUCGUCCUGGAGCUCCCCGAGCCGGUGGUCAUCUCUGGAGCUGAAAGCACGGAGGGCUGCCAGCGUGCCGGAGUCAACCUACGGGAUUGACAGAAUAUGGCAGAAAGGACGAGGUGUCCUGGGUGACAGUAUAAAAGACACCGGCUUUCUUCUUGGUGACUCUUCCUCUGGGUGACUCUGACCACGAUCCCAUGAGAGACACGUAGCAGAACCACCCCAUCCACCUGGCCCCAGAUUCCCGUGGUUUUAAGCCACGAAAUUCUAGUGUCAUUUGUUACGGAGUAAUAGCUGACUGAUGUAGGUGGCGUUAUCAAUAGGGUGCGCUAACCAUUGCCGAGCGCCAGCUAUAUGCCCAACAGUGCUGCCAAGAGGCUAUUUCCUCGUCUCCAUUUCUCAUGCCAAGUGGGUUCCUACCGCAGGCCCUUUGCAUGUGCCAUUCUGGCCACUUGGAGCGCCUUCUCCCCACAUCUUGGCCUGGGUGACCUUAAUCUCAUCAUCAGCUCUCGGGUACGAGGCCACCACCGCAGGGGGGCCCUCCGGGAGCACCCCGGUUCCCCAGCUCAGUCCAUCCAUCCCACGUCACCCUGUUCCCCCUACAACAGAAUCUGGCCCCAAAUAUGGCUCGGCGCUGACGUCAAGGCCUCCUGGACACAGAGCUGAUUCAUGGUUGAUCCGUCACGGAGUUUGUGGCACAAAUGACUCAGCGUUUUUAACACAUCGUGUUGAGCCGAUGUCCUGUGGUCCCCUGGGGCCCCGGGCCCAGGGGGAUGAUUCCAGGAAGGUCAGAGGGAGCCCGGGGGGAGCUGGUGUCGGGGGCCGGGGUGCAAGGGGGACCUGACUGCGUGGACCGGGGAGCGGGGCGGCAGUGGCGUGGCCCCGGGGUGAAGGAUGUAGGGAGGCGGGCGGCCGUCUGGCCUUUUCAAAAAUGGAAGCGGCCUGGUUGUGCUGAAAUUCGGAUGUUGGGGGGGGCGGGCGACGGCAGAGACCCAGGAACUGGAGGUGACUUCCUGGUGUGGGGAACGGAUGAGCGACAGAUAAACGGGAGAAUUGAGUCUGCCGGCGGGUGACAAGUGCCACACAGGAAGCUGAGGAGGGGAGGAGGGCCGGGAGCACCAAGAAUGGGGGUGGGUGUUGGCAGUUUCCAACAACGGGGUGUGAGAGGCCUCGAGGAGAAGACAGGUUUCAACAGGACCUAAAAACGGACAGAGUGACCCAUGGGGACAUCUGAGGAAAGAGUUCCAGGCUGAGGACACAGCAAGUGCAAAGGCCCUGGGGCAGGCCUGGGCCUGGCAUGUGGGAGGAGCAGCGAGGAGGCCCGUGUGGCUGGAGCAGAGGGAGGAGGGAGGGCAGGGAGGGGACGGGGCAGGUCGUGCGGGGCCUGGGGGGACCUGACCUUGGACCUGUCUAGAUCCGACAGCCACGAGGAGAAGAGCUGGUGGGGACCACAGCUGCUCCUUUUGCUAGAGAAACCAGAAAGGCUGAGUUUCAGGAAUUGCUACGUUUUGCCGAGUUGGCGAUCCAAUUGUUCUUUUCAAUUCAAAUAUUUUUAUGAGAAUUUGUGAACUUAACAAAAAAACCAUGGGCCCCCCCGUGGAGCAAAAACUCAAAACGCGUUUGUUGUCCAAUAAAGAAACGAAGGGUGUGAGGGGGAGGAAGGGACGCACAGGGAGCACUCACUUAUUCAUUCAUUCAUUCAUUCAUUCAUUUGAGAAGUAAUUUUUACAGAUCUGAACAGACCAAGACAGAGAGAAAAAAAAACAGCAAAAAAUAGAAAUAGGAAGAAAUGUGGCAGCGUGGCUUUCCUGCUAUUCUUCAAACUCACCAGGCACGUUCCUGCCCCAGGGCCUUUGCACAGGCUGUUCCCUCUGCCUGGAACCCAGUCUGCCCCAGGGAUCCCCUCGGCUCACUCCCUACCCUCCUUCAGGUUUGCAGUCGAGCCCGUCCUGACGACACUGUGACAACUGCCUAGGACAGGGAGUCCCAAAGUCCAGCCCGGGGGCCGUUUUUGUCAAUAAAGUUUUAUCGGCACAUGGCCACACCCACUCAUUGACGUAUCCCUUUCCACGGGCCCCUUCCAGGCUACAGCGGCCACAAAAUAUCCUGAAAACAUUCAUUUUGGGGCCGACACCUGGGCUGCGAGGCAGGCACGUGACUUUUCUCCAUGCUCAGAGGGCCAAGCGUGACUGAGAUCGCAGCACGGGGCUGGUGUCUGGCAGCGCAGCUAUUUGGCGCCAAAGGUCUGUAACCCUAAGAACCAGAGGCCUCUCUCUCUUGAGCCCAGAGAAUUCUUUGGGGACGUAAAUUGUGUCUUCCUCCAAAUUCUGAUGCGGAAGCCUGACCCCAGGACCUUAGAACGUGACGGUGUUUGGAGAUGGGUGUUCACAGAGGUGAUUAAGGGGAAAUGAGGUCACUGGGGUGGGUCCUGAUCCAAGAGGACUGGUUCCCUUGUAAGAAGAAGAGAUGGGGACACAGACACGCACAGAGGGACGACCAACGAGGACACAGGGGGGAGCCGCCGUCCACAUGCCACGGAGAGAGGCCUCGGAGGAGCCAGCCCUGCCGACACCUCGACCGCGGACUCCAGCCUCCGGCCCCGGGACGACGAUAAAUUUCCGAGCUUGGAGCCCCCCCAGCCCAUCGUCCGUCCCCUGUGUGGCGGGUGGCCCCCGGCCACGCGUGCCUCCCGCGCUUUCAGAUGCGGCUGCAGCGACCGAAGAGAAACGGAAUUUUCCGUCCCACUCAUUUUUCAUUCGUCAAAAUCGAAAUGCUCGCUGUCGCGCGGUGACAUAUUUCUCCCCCUUCAACACGACUUCGGCGGCAUCGAAUUUCACUUUGUCGAAAACACGGCGUCUGGGUUGAGUUUGGGUAAAAUGCAGGCCAGAUUUUGACGAAUUCAUGCCCAAAAGGGGCAGGGACGAUGCCCCCAGGGGGAACGCAGGACGUGGAUCCCACGGCGACAUAUUAGGAUCAAUAAAAUGGAUCAGAAUUAA